GCCUCGGUGGUGUAGCGGUAGAGCACACGUCCCUGGCAUGGCUGAAACGCGGGUUCGAUCCCGUUUGAGGCC
Parelaphostrongylus tenuis is the source of this 72-nucleotide non-coding RNA. The record is from the annotation of a GenBank genome assembly. NCBI's taxonomy places the organism in Eukaryota, Metazoa, Nematoda, Chromadorea, Rhabditida, Metastrongylidae.